CGUGGCUCUCUCUUAGGAGUUCUCUGCGAACUCUCGGCUUCACAGCUCUGCGGUUGCCCUGGCUGAGGCUCCGACAUCCUUGGAUCUUAGGACACAAGGCAAUACAUUCUAUUGUAGCCCAACAGGGCUUCAGAAUUAGAAAUCUACCCUUGAAAGCUUGCAAUGGAAGCUAGGCUACAGGUUUGCGAAGUUAAUAACCUAUAUCUACAUAACACAAGGGAGUUCGAGUCUUCAAAGAGAGCAGAACAGAGCCAAGAUAUUGUACUCAAACUCCCAGCAUCCAUGAUGAAACUGAUAAUUAUCAGAGUCGAAUUGGAAUUACCUGGUUACUGGCCCGGCCGUUUUGAUUGCGUUGUAAUAGUAUGGAUAAGGUAUACUGGUAGACACGGAAUGGUUAAAGUAGAAUGAUACAAGCGCUUCAGUCUUUACCCGUCAGAUGAGAGACGUUUGUCCAAACGUGGUAGGGACCGCUGGCGCUAUGUCUUGACGAUUCAGAUGUCGCUUGUGACGUCAGCUGCCGUCUUUUGGGUUGAUGAGAUAAGCAAAUAAUGAUACGACGUACUGGGGUUUGGAGAGACAAGAAAUAGACUCCCCUCGACUUGUUACAAUUUGCGUAGUAUGUGUUUUAGCCAUUUAAAGAGUACCUAGAUGUUUUGGAAGUAAUACAAAAUCAACCAUCUAAACGGUAAAUAAAACCGUAGUGAUAUCCUUAACAAUGACUUCAAUAAAGAAACUAAUUAUCA
This is a long non-coding RNA of Nematostella vectensis (starlet sea anemone), 743 nucleotides long. RefSeq lists it as uncharacterized. The record is from RefSeq and is a predicted model, not a curated record. NCBI's taxonomy places the organism in Eukaryota, Metazoa, Cnidaria, Anthozoa, Actiniaria, Edwardsiidae. The transcript has 2 exons.